Bos taurus (domestic cattle) is the source of this 1593-nucleotide long non-coding RNA. The record is from Ensembl. NCBI's taxonomy places the organism in Eukaryota, Metazoa, Chordata, Mammalia, Artiodactyla, Bovidae.
ACUCGGAGAUUGACUAAUUUACACAUUGUGGGAAAAUUGCUACCAGCUCUGCCCACACCCAGCAGGAGGAGAGACGCCCUCUCUCUUUGAAAGGUGGGAACUGCAAUCGGGCACUUUAAUGGUAGCGAAAGACCCAACCCUGGCCCUAACUUUUGGAGCUGGCUGAAGCGUUUGUGCACUCACCCGGAAUGCCUGCCAGGCUCUUCUGUCCUCCGGAUUCUCCAGGCAAGAAUACUGGAGUGGGUUGCCAUGCCCUCCUCCAGGGGAUCUUCCUGACUCAGGGGUAGAGCCCAGGCUCCUGCAGCUUCUGCACUGCAGGCGGAUUCUUCACUGCUGAGCCACCAGAGAAGCCCCACUGUGUGAGAAUAGCUCUCAGCCAGCAAAGGAACUCGUGUGUCAUCAGAGGCGAACCUCAGCAUGGCUCUGCCCCGGAUGUGCUGAGCAACACUGACCACACUGCCAGCCCUCUCUGGUCAGCAGAGACUUCCGCAGGGAUAAGCCCUGUGAUGUCCCUGGAACCUCUCUCCAGCCUGAUACACUGGGGUCCUCCCAAUGCACUGGGGUCCUCCCACCUGUCGCUACUCACAGGGUGGUCCAGGGACCUUAGCCUCACUAGGACCUUGUGAGAUAUGCAGUUUCUCAGCACCCCUCCCCGGUCUCCUGAACAGGCACGAUCACGGUGGUCUGGGAACACGUACAGUCGAAGGCCACUGCUCUAACCCUUCCUUUGGCGCAGGAAGACCCCAGUGACUGUUGUUUCACCCAAGGGGUCCAGCCUCCUGAUUCUGGCCUGGAAAAGUCAUAAUUUGGGGACCGACAACCUGGCUUCUCGCCUACCAUCUGACUGGGAUCCAGUCUCUUCACGUCAGCAUCUUGCCACUUUCACUCUCUGGGGUCAUCUGGGAACCUCAGCGAAUGGAAGGAACCUCCACAUCACUAACUGAGUUCCUACUGUGUGCCUGACACCCUGCCAAUCACAUCACAGCAUCAGGAGUGGAAAUCACAAUGGAGACAAAAUAAACAAAUCGCAGGGGACAGAGAGUGUCCUGGUGCAGACGCUUUCUAGAGAUGAUGCUUUCAGUGCGCGCUUCCCAGCAGCUCUGUGAAGCCCUUGCCUCGUGGAGGAUGGAUGAAGCCUGCCUUCCACUUCAUGCUUUGCCCAGCAUUGACUCUCAGGCUUGGUUUUGACAGUCAGGACUCCUCCCACCGCCCUUUGCUGCAGCAUCCCAGCCAGCAUGCAGAUUCCCAGGGAUCUUUGUCGGUGGUGAUCUCUCUGCCAACGGUGCCUUCUCUUCCUUUCACCCUUCCCAUCCUAUCUCUGCCCCAUCCACACAUCUAUUUUAAAAAAUUUAGAUGUGUUGCAUCUGCCAGGGUUCUUUGGAGGGGAGGAUCUGCAAGAUGCCGCUCUAGGGGCAACGUGUCUCAAGCCUCUUCUCCUGGCUGCUAACACCACGGGUCGCAUGGGAAACACUAAUCCAGACCAACUGGGUCCUGUAAUGGGAGAAACUGAGGCCCAGCAAGAGGAAAUUCUCAGCCACAGUCUGUCCUCAUCUAGAGCUUGAGUCUCCUGUUGAGCUCACAGAGGGUCAAUGU